CCUGUGCUAAGGUAGCACAAUAAAUUACUUUUUAAUUAAAAGAUAGAAUGAAGGGAAAGACGACUUAAUUAUUUUUCCAUAACUUUAUAAUAAAAUUCUCUAAAAUGUAAAAAGACAUUUAUAAAAAAGAAAGACGACAAGACCCUAUAGAACUUAUACUUAUUUAGUUUAGCUGGGGCAGCUAAAAACUUUAACUUCAAAUAAUACAAAACAAUAAAGACCUAAAAUUUUUAAUAAAUAAAUCAAGUUACCUUAGGGAUAACAGCGCAAUUCUAUUCAAAAGCACUAAUAAAAAAUAGAAAUUACGACCUCGAUGUUGAAUUAAUCUAACUCUAUUAAGUAACAAUAAUAAGAGUAAGUCUGUUCGACCUUUAAAAGAUUACAUGAUUUGAGUUCAGACCGGUGAAAGCCAGGUCAGAUUCUAUCUUCUUUAAAUUAAUUACAGUACGAAAGGACCUAAUUAUAAAUAACAU
RNAcentral lists this ribosomal RNA (473 nucleotides) under Loxosceles cubana. RNAcentral describes it as "partial 16S ribosomal RNA". The stretch from base 128 to 430 matches the Rfam family "Bacterial large subunit ribosomal RNA", at positions 2074 to 2646 of the family's 2925-position model. The record is from RNAcentral. Lineage: Eukaryota; Metazoa; Arthropoda; Arachnida; Araneae; Sicariidae.